This 1330-nucleotide ribosomal RNA is filed under the name Ramalina rubrotincta. RNAcentral's name for it is "LSU rRNA". It matches the Rfam family "Eukaryotic large subunit ribosomal RNA", at positions 34 to 1381 of the family's 3401-position model. The record is from RNAcentral. Lineage: Eukaryota; Fungi; Ascomycota; Lecanoromycetes; Lecanorales; Ramalinaceae.
UUAAGCAUAUCAAUAAGCGGAGGAAAAGAAACCAACAGGGAUUGCCUCAGUAACGGCGAGUGAAGCGGCAACAGCUCAAAUUUGAAAUCUGGCUCCUCUCGGGGUCCGAGUUGUAAUUUGUAGAGGAUGCUUCGGGUGCGGCACCGGUCUAAGUCCCUUGGAACAGGGCGUCAUAGAGGGUGAGGAUCCCGUUUGUGACCGGCGACCAAGCCCAUGUGAAGCUCCUUCGACGAGUCGAGUUGUUUGGGAAUGCAGCUCAAAAUGGGUGGUAAAUUUCAUCUAAAGCUAAAUACCGGCCAGAGACCGAUAGCGCACAAGUAGAGUGAUCGAAAGAUGAAAAGCACUUUGGAAAGAGAGUCAAAAAGUACGUGAAAUUGUUGAAAGGGAAGCGCUUGUAACCAGACCUGCCGUCGGGUGUUCCGCGGGCAUUCUUGCCCGUCCACUCACCCGCGAUCAGGCCAGCAUCGGUUUUGGCGGCCGGAUAAAGACUCGAGGAAUGUAGCUUCGCUUCGGGGAAGUGUUAUAGCCUCUUGUGCAAUACGGCCAGCCGGGACCGAGGACCGCGCUUCGGCUAGGAUGCUGGCGUAAUGGUUGCAAGCGACCCGUCUUGAAACACGGACCAAGGAGUCUAACAUCUAUGCGAGUGUUUGGGUGUCAAACCCAUGCGCGGAAUGAAAAUGAACGGAGGUGGGAACCCUCAAGGGCGCACCAUCGACCGAUCCGGAAGUUUACGGAUGGAUUUGAGUAUGAGCAUAGCUGUUGGGACCCGAAAGAUGGUGAACUAUGCCUGAAUAGGGUGAAGCCAGAGGAAACUCUGGUGGAGGCUCGCAGCGGUUCUGACGUGCAAAUCGAUCGUCAAAUUUGGGUAUAGGGGCGAAAGACUAAUCGAACCAUCUAGUAGCUGGUUCCUGCCGAAGUUUCCCUCAGGAUAGCAGUAACGUUUUCAGUUUUAUGAGGUAAAGCGAAUGAUUAGAGGCCUGGGGGAUGAAACAUCCUUCACCUAUUCUCAAACUUUCAAUAUGUAAGAAGUCCUUGUUACUUAGUUGAACGUGGACAUUUGAAUGCACCGUUACUAGUGGGCCAUUUUUGGUAAGCAGAACUGGCGAUGCGGGAUGAACCGAACGUGGGGUUAAGGUGCCGGAAUGUACGCUCAUCAGACACCACAAAAGGUGUUGAUUCAUCUAGACAGCCGGACGGUGGCCAUGGAAGUCGGAAUCCGCUAAGGAGUGUGUAACAACUCACCGGCCGAAUGAAUCAGCCCUGAAAAUGGAUGGCGCUCAAGCGUGCUACCCAUACCCCGCCGCCAGGGUAGAAACGAUGCCCUGGCGAG